GUAUCAUUAGCUCAGCUGGCAGAGCACUCGACUUUUAAUCGAACUGUCCGGGGUUCAAGUCCCCGAUGGUACA
RNAcentral lists this transfer RNA (73 nucleotides) under Agathobacter rectalis M104/1. RNAcentral's name for it is "tRNA-Lys (TTT) (tRNA-Lys-TTT-2-1)". It matches the Rfam family "tRNA". From Rfam's summary of the family: Transfer RNA (tRNA) molecules are approximately 80 nucleotides in length. Their secondary structure includes four short double-helical elements and three loops (D, anti-codon, and T loops). The record is from RNAcentral. Lineage: Bacteria; Bacillati; Bacillota; Clostridia; Lachnospirales; Lachnospiraceae.